This 460-nucleotide ribosomal RNA is filed under the name uncultured bacterium. Its description in RNAcentral is "partial 16S ribosomal RNA". It matches the Rfam family "Bacterial small subunit ribosomal RNA", at positions 338 to 795 of the family's 1533-position model. The record is from RNAcentral.
CCUACGGGUGGCAGCAGUGAGGAAUAUUGGUCAAUGGACGAGAGUCUGAACCAGCCAAGUAGCGUGCAGGAUGACUGCCCUAUGGGUUGUAAACUUCUUUUAUAUGGGAAUAAAAUGUUUCACGUGUGGGAUUUUGUAUGUACCAUAUGCAUAAGGAUCGGCUAACUCCGUGCCAGCAGCCGCGGUACUACGGAGGAUCCGAGCGUUAUCCGGAUUUAUUGGGUUUAAAGGGAGCGUAGGUGGAUUGUUAAGUCAGUUGUGAAAGUUUGGGGCUCAACCGUAAAAUUGCAGUUGAAACUGGCAGUCUGGAGGACAGUAGAGGUGGGCGGAAUGCGUGGUGUAGCGGUGAAAUGCUUAGAUAUCACGAAGAACUCCGAUUGCGAAGGCAGCUCACUGGACUGCAACUGACACUGAGGCUCGAAAGUGUGGGUAUCAAACAGGAUUAGAUACCCCUGUAGUC